RNAcentral lists this ribosomal RNA (990 nucleotides) under Triticum aestivum (bread wheat). Its description in RNAcentral is "partial small subunit ribosomal RNA". Lineage: Eukaryota; Viridiplantae; Streptophyta; Magnoliopsida; Poales; Poaceae. The record is from RNAcentral.
AUGGCCACCGCCGGAACCAAGCCGUCAACCAUGCGCGCCGUCCAGUACAGCGGAUACGGUGGCGGCGCCGCAGCACUCAAGUACGUGGAUAUCCCUGUCCCUUCACCGAAGAAAGAUGAGGUUCUUAUAAGGAUUGAAGCAGCAAGCAUAAAUCCAGCGGAUUGGAAUAUCCAGAAAGGCUUGCUACGUCCUUUCGUUCCUAAGUUCCCGUUUAUUCCAGUAACCGAUGUUGCUGGAGAGGUUGUUGAGGUAGGCCCUGCGGUUCAAGAGUUGAAAGUCGGUGACAAAGUUGUGUCCAAAUUAGUCUUCUGGAAAUCUGGCGGCCUCGCUGAGUAUGUUGCAGCAUCAGAGAGCAUCACCGUCGCCCGCCCUGCCGGAAUAUCCGCUGCUGAUGCCGCAGGGCUGCCCCUCGCCGGCUUCACUGCUUUGCAGGCCUUGAGGGCCAUUGGGACCAAGUUUGACGGCACGGGCAGCGGCAGCAACAUCCUGAUCACCGCGGGGUCAGGCGGCAUCGGCACUUACGCAGUUCAGCUGGCCAAGCUCGGAAACCACAAUGUCACGGCAACCUGCGGUGCACGCAACCUGGAGGUCGUCGCGAACAUCGGUGCCGAUGAGGUGCUUGAUUACAAGACCCCGGAAGGUGCGGCCCUGAAAAAUUCUUCGGGCAAGAAGUACGACUACAUCGUGAACAUCACGAGCGAUGGCAAGUGGUCGGCCUUCAAGCCGGCCCUCAACUUCCCUGGCAGAGUUGUCGACAUAGCUUCCAACUUUUGGAACUUCGUCGCAUCAAUUUUGACAUUUUCCAAGAAAAAGCUAUCCAUUAUGAUUGCAUCGAUGGAGAAGGAGGACUUGAGGUUCCUGCUUGACCUGAUGAAGGAAGGGAAGCUCAAGACGGUUGUCGACUCACGGCACCCUUUUGAGAAGGUAGCUGAUGCGUGGGAGAAGAGCAUGAGCGGCCACGCGACAGGAAAGGUCAUUGUUGAGAUGUGA